CGAAAGAGGGAGUGGGGAGGGGGAGCCAGCCUGGACUUUUCGCCUCUCCCUCCCUCCGACGCGGCUUUCAUACUAAUCGAUGCCCGCCUUCCUCUCUCCUCCCGGCCCCAGCCUCACAUUUCGCCUCCCAACAGCCCUGACAGUACACCAUGCCUGUUAUAGACCAGCAAAUACAAUAGGAUCAGCUAGAGCAGAAUCCCACUUUUUCCUGGGAUCAGUCUUUGUGAGGACAACCAACACCGAACUCCCAGCCUUCAAGCUAAUCUGACCUGCAGCAGGGAGUUCCGCAGUUCUCCUUUGCCCGCUUAGGCCAGCUUCCAUGGAAUAUGGCCACAGCAGCAGCUUCAACCGAAAGAUUCUCCUUCUGGUUUACUUUCUUUCCCCUUCCUAACAUUGCAACUAAUCCCCCCAAUAAACUAUCAAAUUAAUUGUAA
Molecule: non-coding RNA, 434 nt
Organism: Anolis sagrei ordinatus
Lineage: Eukaryota; Metazoa; Chordata; Lepidosauria; Squamata; Anolidae
Source: RefSeq, a predicted model, not a curated record